This 1049-nucleotide long non-coding RNA is filed under the name Phaseolus vulgaris (common bean). RNAcentral's name for it is "long non-coding RNA (PVUL_LNC004807)". Lineage: Eukaryota; Viridiplantae; Streptophyta; Magnoliopsida; Fabales; Fabaceae. The record is from RNAcentral.
CUCCUUCUUCGGGUCACACGUGAAGUCCGUCCUCGAAGCAAGCUUGAUUUGAAACGACGUGUAGUUCAGCGCGCAGAAGAAUCCCAAGUAGUCUUCCACGUUCGCAUCAUACACCAGACCAGGAUCGAGGGCAGCCACGGGAUCCACGUGUCCAGCGCCGUAAUCGAACGGCGUCGCAGGUUGUCCAGUUGCAACAUCUAGAAUUGCUGCGCCGUUUUUGUAACUCGUGUACGCUGUUGUCAUGAGUGCGGAUCGAAUAGCCGCAGGGCUCCAUUGAGGGUGCGCGCCUUUGAGAAUGGCGGCUAAGCCGCUGACGUGAGGGCAGGACAUGGAGGUUCCGGAAAUAAUGUUGAAGCUGACGUGGCGGUCGUCGGCGGUCAACCCGGUGGGUCCGACCGCGCCGGUCCAACCGGCUAGAAUGUUGACCCCUGGAGCUAUAAAAUCCGGUUUGAGAAUGUUGGGCGUGAGAGCGUUGGGUCCUCUGGAGCUGAAAGCCGCCACCACCGGAGAAGGUUUAACCUCCAAUUGGGUCCCUAAGAAAGCAAUCUUAGCGGUGGGAUUAGCCGAAGAAGAAGCGUAACUCUUGAGAAUCUGGCUUGAUUUUUGACCCAGCGAUGCAGCAGGAAGAAGAUGAGGGUCUGUAACUAACUCUUCCCCAAAAGCUUCAUUGUUGGCCAAAAUCAUUCCAGCACCACCCGCAAGCUUAACCACCAAACCCUUCUCCACUCUCGGAUUUCCCCCUCUCUCGCAUAUCACAAUCUUCCCUGAAACCUUCUCAGGAAUGAGAGAGUCUUGCAGGCAAAGAUACCCAACAGAAGAGUUACUCGCGUUGCCGGCGUAAACGAGAGGAAGCGGAGAAUCCAAAACCGGUUUACCGUUAUAAAGCGACGCUCCGGCGUAGGUUUUUCCAUUUCCGAGGGUUAUGAGAGCAGGGAAAUCGCGGUCUAAAGUUCCCGCUCCCACUGUGGUUACCCACGGCGACACGUUGGAUAACGUUGAUGAACUGGGCCCAGCGUUACCUGCUGACAUGGAAACCAAAAUCCCAUGUG